AGCUCCAUAGCUUUGUGGUUAGAGCGCUGGUCUAAUAAACCAAAGGACGUGAGUUCGAUCUUCGCUGGAGCCU
Molecule: transfer RNA, 73 nt
Filed under: Astyanax mexicanus (Mexican tetra)
Lineage: Eukaryota; Metazoa; Chordata; Actinopteri; Characiformes; Acestrorhamphidae
Rfam family: tRNA
About the family: Transfer RNA (tRNA) molecules are approximately 80 nucleotides in length. Their secondary structure includes four short double-helical elements and three loops (D, anti-codon, and T loops). Further hydrogen bonds mediate the characteristic L-shaped molecular structure. tRNAs have two regions of fundamental functional importance: the anti-codon, which is responsible for specific mRNA codon recognition, and the 3' end, to which the tRNAs corresponding amino acid is attached (by aminoacyl-tRNA synthetases). tRNAs cope with the degeneracy of the genetic code in two manners: having more than one tRNA (with a specific anti-codon) for a particular amino acid; and 'wobble' base-pairing, i.e. permitting non-standard base-pairing at the 3rd anti-codon position.
Source: Rfam by way of RNAcentral